RNAcentral lists this ribosomal RNA (699 nucleotides) under uncultured Porphyrobacter sp. RNAcentral's name for it is "bacterial SSU rRNA". It matches the Rfam family "Bacterial small subunit ribosomal RNA", at positions 94 to 828 of the family's 1533-position model. The record is from RNAcentral. Lineage: Bacteria; Pseudomonadati; Pseudomonadota; Alphaproteobacteria; Sphingomonadales; Erythrobacteraceae.
AGUGGCGCACGGGUGCGUAACGCGUGGGAACCUGCCCUUAGGUUCGGAAUAACUCAGAGAAAUUUGAGCUAAUACCGGAUAAUGUCUUCGGACCAAAGAUUUAUCGCCUUUGGAUGGGCCCGCGUUGGAUUAGCUAGUUGGUGGGGUAAAGGCCUACCAAGGCGACGAUCCAUAGCUGGUCUGAGAGGAUGAUCAGCCACACUGGGACUGAGACACGGCCCAGACUCCUACGGGAGGCAGCAGUGGGGAAUAUUGGACAAUGGGCGAAAGCCUGAUCCAGCAAUGCCGCGUGAGUGAUGAAGGCCUUAGGGUUGUAAAGCUCUUUUACCAGGGAUGAUAAUGACAGUACCUGGAGAAUAAGCUCCGGCUAACUCCGUGCCAGCAGCCGCGGUAAUACGGAGGGAGCUAGCGUUGUUCGGAAUUACUGGGCGUAAAGCGCACGUAGGCGGCUUUUUAAGUCAGGGGUGAAAUCCCGGGGCUCAACCCCGGAACUGCCCUUGAAACUGGGAAGCUAGAAUCUUGGAGAGGCGAGUGGAAUUCCGAGUGUAGAGGUGAAAUUCGUAGAUAUUCGGAAGAACACCAGUGACGAAGGCGACUCGCUGGACAAGUAUUGACGCUGAGGUGCGAAAGCGUGGGGAGCGAACAGGAUUAGAUACCCUGGUAGUCCACGCCGUAAACGAUGAUAACUAGCUGUCCGGG